This is a long non-coding RNA of Gallus gallus (chicken), 994 nucleotides long. The record is from Ensembl. Lineage: Eukaryota; Metazoa; Chordata; Aves; Galliformes; Phasianidae.
AUGGUCACACUAUUAAUACUCAGCUUGGUGAUAGUGCACAGGAGUCUCAUAAGAGAAGACCUCAGGGACUACAGAUGCCACGUGGGAAGCGCCUGGGCAGCCGGCCGCACGCGAAACCUGGAUGUCUUCCUGCAAGCCCCUGGGAUAGCUGAAACCAGAGGGACAUUAAGCAGAAACCAUAAAGUCACAUUUCUGGAAUGCUUUAGUCAUCAAAGCUCUGUGCAAGUAAAUCUGCUGCACCUGGAGAAGAUGCACGGAGAUCUGACAGAGUGGGUAGCGGAGGAAUGCACUGUGGAGAGCCUGCAGGUCAUCCCCAGCACAGCCGGGACACCCAACCACACCUGUGUCUUACGCACGUCCACGAGAAGGCACUUCCAUAGAAGAUUUAUUUUCAGAAGCAAAGUGUUCCUGGCAGUGAUUUCAAAUCACACCGUAACAGCAACACCACCCAAGCAGAAAGCUUUUUCCAAUGGCUCAUCUACCCCACAUGUGCGCUCAGAGCAGCAGACUUCCCAAGAGAAAAUUCCAUCUGCAAAUGGCAAAGAUUCGCUGGUCAGACAAAAUAUAAGUAUCUUCAUGAAAGCGUUCAUCGUCUGCAUCCUGUUAGCGCCCAUGAUAUGCUAUACCAUAUUUUUCAUACAUGAAAUAAGCCACUUGUGUUCGUGCCCUGACUGGAUCGGCAGCAGAUGGAGCAGAAGCAAAUGCAUAUCUGCAGCCCCCACCCCAGUGGAUCACCAGUCAGGAACACUCUCAGCCCAGCUACCUGAGGACAGAAAGAAGUCAGUGCUAUGUUUUGCCUGACUCUCAGAAUCCCUUCCACAGAUCCUUACAUGAGAAGAUCCCAAAUUAUUGUCAUCCACAAAACCUACUUAAGAAAUGCUGCAGGCCUUAGAGAAACACUGUUUUUACAAACAAAAAAAAAAGCAUCAUCUUCCUCCUCACCACUUACUGGGAACAGCAGAUUGAACAUCAGCAGCUUAAAUAACCACAGCUU